GGCCAGUGAUGUUUCAGUAUUUGCUACUCUUGACCGAGAGGGUGAUGACACAACCACCAAGAUCUCUGAGGCU
Small nucleolar RNA from Corticium candelabrum, 73 nucleotides. RefSeq annotates it as small nucleolar RNA SNORD24. The record is from RefSeq and is a predicted model, not a curated record. NCBI's taxonomy places the organism in Eukaryota, Metazoa, Porifera, Homoscleromorpha, Homosclerophorida, Plakinidae. The transcript has a single exon.